CACUAAAGAACAAACAGAAAGGAAAUCAUGUUGCUAAUGGGCGCCAACCGAGAAGCAGACAGGAUGACAUUAACUGCGUCCUCCUGCAAACGUCUUCAUUCAAACAGUACAUAUAACAAAUGAGACGCAAAGCAGCAGCAUCUAUGAAUCAUCAAAGAAAAGGAAAGAUUUCCCACUAGUAAAACAACACCGACACCAUGUGUGUGUGUGUGUGUGUGUUUACACAGGACGCCGGCUGUCUAGAGAAAACCAACUCAGCAGCAUCGCUACACCCACACAUGAAAGCAGAAGCUCCCCCAGAGAUCAUGCACACAAAACUACUGAAGAGGAAAGAAGACGAGGAGGAGCAGGAGGAAGACAAAAGGAGGAUUGAUGAAGGAGAGAAGCAAGGCGAGGUGACAGGAGAAGUGAGUGGCAGUCUGCCGCCUGCCGGUACUACAGCGGAUGAUGGAUUGAUCCAACACACUCACAGCAUAACACUUGUUCUCACACUCACACUCACACACACACACACACACACACACACACACACACACACACACACACAGGUCUGUAACGUCCUGUCCUCCCUCCGCAGACAGUCAAGGUUGUUCUGCAUGAAUCAUCACUCUCAGCUCUGUAUGCCUCCUUCCCUCUCAUCAUCCUCAUCGUCAUACAUCUAUUUCCUUUCACCUCUGACAUCACAGUAAACAACGACCCAAGAAGCUGUUUACGCUUGUGUGUCUGUGUGUGUGGGGGGGGGGGG
Molecule: long non-coding RNA, 745 nt
Organism: Gasterosteus aculeatus aculeatus (three-spined stickleback)
Lineage: Eukaryota; Metazoa; Chordata; Actinopteri; Perciformes; Gasterosteidae
Source: Ensembl